GGAGGGUGCAAGCGUUAAUCGGAAUUACUGGGCGUAAAGCGCACGCAGGCGGUCUGUCAAGUCGGAUGUGAAAUCCCCGGGCUCAACCUGGGAACUGCAUUCGAAACUGGCAGGCUUGAGUCUCGUAGAGGGGGGUAGAAUUCCAGGUGUAGCGGUGAAAUGCGUAGAGAUCUGGAGGAAUACCGGUGGCGAAGGCGGCCCCCUGGACGAAGACUGACGCUCAGGUGCGAAAGCGUGGGGAGCAAAC
Molecule: ribosomal RNA, 247 nt
Filed under: uncultured Enterobacteriaceae bacterium
Lineage: Bacteria; Pseudomonadati; Pseudomonadota; Gammaproteobacteria; Enterobacterales; Enterobacteriaceae
Description: partial 16S ribosomal RNA
Rfam family: Bacterial small subunit ribosomal RNA
Source: RNAcentral